RNAcentral lists this microRNA (24 nucleotides) under Biomphalaria glabrata. RNAcentral's name for it is "piRNA piR-bgl-207459". The record is from RNAcentral. Lineage: Eukaryota; Metazoa; Mollusca; Gastropoda; Planorbidae. RNAcentral also lists the same sequence under 3 other names.
UGAAAGACAUGGGUAGUGAGAUGU